Molecule: small RNA, 593 nt
Filed under: Vigna angularis var. angularis
Lineage: Eukaryota; Viridiplantae; Streptophyta; Magnoliopsida; Fabales; Fabaceae
Description: Non-protein coding transcript
Source: RNAcentral
GUGUAAGUGGGAUGACGUAGGGAGUAACUCUCCCAGAAACGGACGUAGUACAUCGGUCGAGCCUGGGCGGUUAUCUUGAGAAAUUUGAGGGUGCAGUCUUUCUAGCCGUGUGCAGAGGAAACGUUGUUGAAUUAUAAGAAAGCGGGGAAAGGGAGAUUCUGCGAAGCUGUUUCAAUAUUGGUCGUUUCGGUGCCUGUCUCAGACAACCAUGUCUUCUUUAUACAGAGGGGAAUCUAGGAGGUACAACAAUAAACAAAAAGGACGCCAUAAUUUGACAACGCGAAGAAGCAGGAAAUUAUGGAAUCCUUUGAGUUAUUUGAUACCGAUGGCUCAGGUACUAUUGAUGCCAAGGAGCUGAAUGUUGCCAUGAGAGGAUCGAGUGGUUAGUCCAGAGGAAUUCAUCACGAUGAUGAACAGAACUCGCUUCCAUCACUAGUGAUAUCUAUGUGGGGCUAGUGACUAUCUUUGUUUGGAUGCACUUGUAUGGGAAAAUUAAAAUCAUAAUGGCGAAGUUAUAUAUUGUACUCUCUGUAUAAAUGAUUCCAAUGCUGUGACUUUUUGUAUUGCCUAUGAAUAAAUAACAUUGAUGUGUG